This 83-nucleotide transfer RNA is filed under the name Saccharicrinis fermentans DSM 9555 = JCM 21142. RNAcentral describes it as "tRNA-Leu". It matches the Rfam family "tRNA". From Rfam's summary of the family: Transfer RNA (tRNA) molecules are approximately 80 nucleotides in length. Their secondary structure includes four short double-helical elements and three loops (D, anti-codon, and T loops). Further hydrogen bonds mediate the characteristic L-shaped molecular structure. tRNAs have two regions of fundamental functional importance: the anti-codon, which is responsible for specific mRNA codon recognition, and the 3' end, to which the tRNAs corresponding amino acid is attached (by aminoacyl-tRNA synthetases). tRNAs cope with the degeneracy of the genetic code in two manners: having more than one tRNA (with a specific anti-codon) for a particular amino acid; and 'wobble' base-pairing, i.e. permitting non-standard base-pairing at the 3rd anti-codon position. Lineage: Bacteria; Pseudomonadati; Bacteroidota; Bacteroidia; Marinilabiliales; Marinilabiliaceae. The record is from RNAcentral.
GCCCAGAUGGCGGAAUUGGUAGACGCGCUGGUCUCAAACACCAGUGGGGCAACCCGUGCCGGUUCGAUCCCGGCUCUGGGUAC